RNAcentral lists this non-coding RNA (30 nucleotides) under Mus musculus (house mouse). Lineage: Eukaryota; Metazoa; Chordata; Mammalia; Rodentia; Muridae. The record is from RNAcentral.
UCCAGUGCAAUGGAUCCAUAGAUCCGUGGU